Long non-coding RNA from Glycine soja, 332 nucleotides. RefSeq lists it as uncharacterized. The record is from RefSeq and is a predicted model, not a curated record. The transcript is spliced from 2 exons. Lineage: Eukaryota; Viridiplantae; Streptophyta; Magnoliopsida; Fabales; Fabaceae.
CAGGAAAUAAUUAUUUAGUUUGAUCAAUGAUAUUCCAUCUGUUUUUGAAGUUGUGACUGACAGGAAACUAGUUAAGGACAAGCCAAGUGCGGAUAGUGGAAGCAAGUCUAGGGGAAGUGCCAAGAUAAAUGAUGUAAGGUUAUUACAAUGGACGAAAUUGAGCAUCAUGUUGACGAUGCUCAGGUUGAUUGUUCUCAUGACAUGUCAAAGGACUAUUGACUCCUGAUGAUUGUUUAUUUUAGUUUGAUCAUGCCAUGUUAGUUAUGAAUUUGAACUUUAUUAAACUUUGACAUUGCAUUUUAUUAAACUUUAAAAACUUUGAAUUUGUAAUU